GUACUGAUGAUGAGUCCCAAAAAGGACGAAACAGCUGUCCCGUGC
This 45-nucleotide non-coding RNA is filed under the name Echinostoma caproni. Lineage: Eukaryota; Metazoa; Platyhelminthes; Trematoda; Plagiorchiida; Echinostomatidae. The record is from RNAcentral.